AACGAACGCUGGCGGCAGGCCUAACACAUGCAAGUCGAGCGAGCGGCGGACGGGUGAGUAUUGUCCGGGAAACUGCCUGACGGAGGGGGAUAACUACUGGAAACGGUAGCUAAUACCGCAUACCAUCAGCAGUGCCCAGAUGGGAGUAGCUAGUAGGUGGGGUAAUGGCUCACAUUGGAGACGAAACCUAGCUGGUCUGAGAGGAUGACCAGCCACACUGGAACUGAGACACGGUCCAGACUCCUACGGGAGGCAGCAGUGGGGAAUAUUGCGCAAUGGGCGCAAGCCGGAUGCAGCCAGGCCGCGUGGGUGAAGAAGGCCUUCGGUUUGUAAAGCACUUUCAUCGGGGAGGCGGUACCCGCAGAAGAAGCACCGGCUAACUCCGUGCCAGCAGCCGCGGUAAUAC
RNAcentral lists this ribosomal RNA (406 nucleotides) under uncultured bacterium. RNAcentral's name for it is "partial 16S ribosomal RNA". It matches the Rfam family "Bacterial small subunit ribosomal RNA", at positions 29 to 526 of the family's 1533-position model. The record is from RNAcentral.